AAGAAGCGGAGGGAAGCAACACAGCGCAGCGUGACUACGUGCUUGAUCUGUCUCCUCCUAAUGGGCAUGCAGAACCUCAGCUUUUAAGUUGGUCUCCGCAGAGGACAACUGCAUUCUCCAGCCUCCUGUACAGCAGAGAGUGCCAUGUGACUAAGACCAAGUUCUAACCAGUGGGAUCAAAGCAGGGAAGUGUUGCCUUCUUUGCCCCUUCCUGCUGGCUGGAAUAUGACAAAACGGCUGCAGCAUGAGCAACCUUCUUGGGCCCUGAGGUGGAAGCCACCUGUUGGUUGACAGACCAGAUGGUGGAGUGACCAGAUAGAAGGGGCCUGGUGAUUGUGGAUUCUGCCACACUACCUCUGGUCCCCUAUACCUAUGUGAAAGGAAAAGAAAUGUCUGCCAUGUU
This 403-nucleotide long non-coding RNA is filed under the name Pan troglodytes (chimpanzee). RNAcentral describes it as "lincRNA". Lineage: Eukaryota; Metazoa; Chordata; Mammalia; Primates; Hominidae. The record is from RNAcentral.